Molecule: ribosomal RNA, 831 nt
Filed under: Bertiella studeri
Lineage: Eukaryota; Metazoa; Platyhelminthes; Cestoda; Cyclophyllidea; Anoplocephalidae
Description: eukaryotic LSU rRNA
Rfam family: Eukaryotic large subunit ribosomal RNA (bases 480-831)
Source: RNAcentral
UCUUAAAGGUGUUGUCACAACAGUGGCAGGGAGCUUGUGGUUGCGAAUGCCAGCUACUACUACUGUGUGUCAAUUACUACUAUUACUACUACUACUACUAAUACUACUAUCGGGUAAUGUAAAUGAAUGGUGCCGUACUGUGCUGUGUAUUGGUAUAUAAGAUGGUAUAUGUGAUUUAUCCAAUAGUACGCACCUAUUUGCCUGAUAUGUGUAGUAGUGGUUAUAUUUAUUUUUUUUUAUAUUUAUGUUUUGUAGUAGUACUAGUAGUAGUUGUGAUUGACCCUAGUAGAGCGACAAUUCACUAAUCGUGGCCUAGUGUAUAUAUGUGUUAUUAGAUGGCACGAGGUGUGGAUUGUGGCUUAUAUAUAGAUAAAUAAUGGUAGAUGGCGUCCAUCAAUCCAUUCACUUAAUAAUUAUUAAGUGAUAUGUGUAUAGGUUACAUGCAUGCGUGUAUAGGUUAUAUGUAUGCAUGGCCAACCUGACCUCAGAUCAGUCGUGAGUACCCGCUGAACUUAAGCAUAUCAAUAAGCGGAGGAAAAGAAACUAACCAGGAUUCCCUUGGUAACGGCGAGUGAAGAGGGAAGAGCCCAGCACCGAAGCCUGCGACAGUUUUGCUGUUAGGCAAUGUGGUGUGAGGGUCGGUUGGCGGGAUUGUCACUCCACUCGAAGUCCAGCAUUGAGUAUGGCUAUCACUGGAUUUGGCCCAUAGAGGGUGAGAGGCCCGUACGAGUGGAGAUCCAGAUAUGUGUGACGAUUCACCAGGCCGACCUCAGAGUCGGGUUGUUUGAGAUUGCAGCCCAAAGAGGGUGGUAAACUCCAUCCAAGGCUAAA